Molecule: unclassified non-coding RNA, 350 nt
Filed under: uncultured fungus
Lineage: Eukaryota; Fungi
Description: sequence contains ITS1
Rfam family: 5.8S ribosomal RNA (bases 1-105)
Source: RNAcentral
GAAAUGCGAAAAGUCGUGUGAAUUGCAGAAUCGUGAGACAUCGACUCUUUGAACGCAGCUUGCACUCUACAGUCACAAUCUGAAGAGUACACCUGUUUGAGGUCGGACGGAAAUCGAAACAGCGCGAGUUCGCUCGUGGUUGAUUCGGAGAUGAGCUCUUCAUGACCGCGUGCGCGCGUGAUGCGUCGUGGUAGCUCGCAAUUGAGUCAUCGAGACUUUGCACAUGUUUUGGUAUAAUGACACGACGAAUCGUUUCUUUGCCGAACAACGUGUGGAUGGAGUCGCGAUGGAUACGUUUGAAAGUUUUGAACCCAGACCUCAAAUCAGGUGGGAAGACCCGCUGAACUUAA